UCUGCCUUUUGUGUCACGUCUCUUAAGAUGGGCAGUUAGAAAACAUGCUCUCUCUGUAUUCAUGUAAGAGGGUCUGAUCUCCAGGGGGUGGGGUGGUGGUGGUCUGAGCUUCAAAGAAGAAAAUUGCAUCGAGGAACAGUACCAGACACACCUUCGGGUGUCUGUCAGAGUAGACCGAGAAGCUUUGUUUCCUUACCCAAAGGGGGGCAGAGAGAGCAGAGGGUCAUCUUGGGAGCAGUCAUGCAGGAUGCAGCUCACUCUAGUGGCUGCCUUUAUCCUUUCUUGGCUAGGCUAUUUGUCUGCAUUGCCACUUGAAGAAUACUAGUGCAUUAGGUUAAGCAAUGUGCUGGCCAUCGUGAGUGAUUUGUUUUGCAAUCACUUUAUGCCACUUUCAGCAUUGUCUACAACGUGACUCGGUUGUUGGGUUCUGAUGAACCAUGUCUGGGUGCAGAUGGCUCAGGAGAAAGACCUUGGUCUGGGGGAUUUACUGUUAUCAGCCUGGAGUCUCCUUCCAUCCAGGGAUGACUUUGCAAUGUAGCAGCCCACAGAUGGUCGCUGGGUUCUCAUGACUGUACAAUCAUCUCUAUAGGCUAUAUGAGAUAGUGCUCCAAGGCUCCGCUGGACCCCUACUCAGGAGCAAACCACUCUGAGCAGAAGAAAUGUGAAGAAUUAACAGGCGGUUCCAGCCAGCACCUCACCUCUGCAUGUCCUUCCUGGAUGCCUUCCGCUGUGUGCUACUUGUGAAUACCAGGCCUAGCCAGCCCUGGACACAGCAGUCAGUGACAGUACCACAAGCCCUCCUCCCUCUCCCACACCUCCUCCCUCAGCUGCUUCUCCAGGAGGCCAC
Mus musculus (house mouse) is the source of this 847-nucleotide long non-coding RNA. RefSeq annotates it as predicted gene, 31120. Lineage: Eukaryota; Metazoa; Chordata; Mammalia; Rodentia; Muridae. The transcript is spliced from 2 exons. The record is from RefSeq and is a predicted model, not a curated record.